Molecule: ribosomal RNA, 484 nt
Filed under: uncultured bacterium
Lineage: Bacteria
Description: partial 16S ribosomal RNA
Rfam family: Bacterial small subunit ribosomal RNA
Source: RNAcentral
AUUGAACGCUGGCGGCAGGCCUAACACAUGCAAGUCGAGCGGAUGAAGGGAGCUUGCUCCUGGAUUCAGCGGCGGACGGGUGAGUAAUGCCUAUGAAUCUGCCUGGUAGUGGGGGAUAACGUCCGGAAACGGGCGCUAAUACCGCAUACGUCCUGAGGGAGAAAGUGGGGGAUCUUCGGACCUCACGCUAUCAGAUGAGCCUAGGUCGGAUUAGCUAGUUGGUGGGGUAAAGGCCUACCAAGGCGACGAUCCGUAACUGGUCUGAGAGGAUGAUCAGUCACACUGGAACUGAGACAAGGUCCAGCCUCCUAAGGGAGGCAGCAGUGGGGAAUAUUCGACAAUGGGCGAAAGCCUGAUCCAGCCAUGCCGCGUGUGUGAAGAAGGUCUUCGGAUUGUAAAGCACUUUAAGUUGGGAGGAAGGGCAGUAAGUUAAUACCUUGCUGUUUUGACGUUACCAACAGAAUAAGCACCGGCUAACUUCGUG